RNAcentral lists this ribosomal RNA (323 nucleotides) under uncultured bacterium. RNAcentral's name for it is "bacterial SSU rRNA". It matches the Rfam family "Bacterial small subunit ribosomal RNA", at positions 28 to 334 of the family's 1533-position model. The record is from RNAcentral.
GAUGAACGCUGGCGGCGUGCUUAACACAUGCAAGUCGAACGAGAAUCAACGGAUUGAGGAUUCGUCCAAAUGAAGUUGAGGAAAGUGGCGGACGGGUGAGUAACGCGUGAGGAACCUGCCUCGGAGUGGGGAAUAACAGUUGGAAACAGCUGCUAAUACCGCAUAAUGCAACGGAAUCGCAUGACUCUGUUGCCAAAGAUUUAUCGCUCUGAGAUGGCCUCGCGUCUGAUUAGCUAGUUGGCGGGGUAACGGCCCACCAAGGCGACGAUCAGUAGCCGACCUGAGAGGGUGAUCGGCCACAUUGGAACUGAGAAACGGUCCAA